CCUACGGGAGGCAGCAGUGAGGAAUAUUUGUCAAUGGGCGAAAGCCUGAACCAGCCAAGCCGCGUGAAGGAUGAAGGCCCUAUGCGUUGUAAACUUCUUUUAUAUGGGCAUAAGAAGUGACACGUGUGGGAUUAUGAGUGUCCCCUAUGAAUAAGGAUCGUCUAACUCCGUGCCAGCAGCCGCGGUAAUACGGAGGAUCCGAGCGUUAUCCGGAUUUAUUGGGUUUAAAGGGAGCGUAGGUGGAUGGUUAAGUCAGUUGGGAAAAGUUGGGGCUCAAACGAAAACUGGCAGUGGAAACUGGCAGUAUAGAGUCGGCGAGAGGCAGGCGGAAGUCGGGGUGUAGCGGUGAAAUGCUUAGAUAUAGCGAAGAACCCCGAGUGCGAAGGCAGC
This 390-nucleotide ribosomal RNA is filed under the name uncultured bacterium. Its description in RNAcentral is "partial 16S ribosomal RNA". It matches the Rfam family "Bacterial small subunit ribosomal RNA", at positions 338 to 725 of the family's 1533-position model. The record is from RNAcentral.